GGACGACGUCAAGUCAUCAUGGCCCUUACGACCAGGGCUACACACGUGCUACAAUGGGUAUUACAGAGGGCUGCGAAGGUGCGAGCUGGAGCGAAACUCAAAAAGGUACUCUUAGUCCGGAUUGCAGUCUGCAACUCGACUGCAUGAAGUCGGAAUCGCUAGUAAUCGCAGGUCAGAAUACUGCGGUGAAUACGUUCCCGGGUCUUGUACACACCGCCCGUCACACCAUGGGAGUGGGUUGCUCCAGAAGUAGAUAGCUUAACGAAUGGGCGUUUACCACGGAGUGAUUCAUGACUGGGGUGAAGUCGUAACAAGGUAGCCGUAGGGGAACCUGCGGCUGGAUCACCUCCUUA
RNAcentral lists this ribosomal RNA (353 nucleotides) under Escherichia coli O157:H7 str. EC1212. RNAcentral describes it as "SSU rRNA". It matches the Rfam family "Bacterial small subunit ribosomal RNA", at positions 1177 to 1533 of the family's 1533-position model. Lineage: Bacteria; Pseudomonadati; Pseudomonadota; Gammaproteobacteria; Enterobacterales; Enterobacteriaceae. The record is from RNAcentral.